Molecule: non-coding RNA, 31 nt
Filed under: Mus musculus (house mouse)
Lineage: Eukaryota; Metazoa; Chordata; Mammalia; Rodentia; Muridae
Source: RNAcentral
UGCUAACAAUGACCCAGGUAGGGGUAGACAC